UACGUAGGGGGCAAGCGUUGUCCGGAUUUAUUGGGCGUAAAGAGCGUGUAGGCGGCCAGAUAGGUCUGCUGUGAAAACUCGAGGCUUAACCUCGAGAUGUCGGCGGAAACCAUCUGGCUAGAGUCCGGAAGAGGAGAGUGGAAUUCCUGGUGUAGCGGUGAAAUGCGCAGAUAUCAGGAGGAACACCGGUGGCGAAGGCGGGUCUCUGGGCCGAUACUGACGCUGAGGAGCGAAAGCGUGGGGAGCGAACAGG
RNAcentral lists this ribosomal RNA (253 nucleotides) under uncultured bacterium. RNAcentral's name for it is "partial 16S ribosomal RNA". It matches the Rfam family "Bacterial small subunit ribosomal RNA", at positions 524 to 776 of the family's 1533-position model. The record is from RNAcentral.